AAGUGUGAAGCAAUUAAUUGCAAUCAGUUUCGACCUGACCCUAGAUAAAGAAGAAUUUAUCCUCACUUU
Molecule: transfer RNA, 69 nt
Filed under: Koutabatermes spinifer
Lineage: Eukaryota; Metazoa; Arthropoda; Insecta; Blattodea; Termitidae
Description: tRNA-Arg
Source: RNAcentral